GCCUCGGCCAGAAACCGUCCGGCUCGCCACUCGGCUGGCCUCCGGGGAAUGGGCCACCAGGAGCCCCCGCUGGCCCGGGCGCCCGCCGGAGGUGGGGCUUCUAGAAAGAGGUUAUGUAAAGGGCUCAGCUGGCGCGAGCACGUGCAGAGCCGCGGGAGCCCGGACGCCGGGUUCUCCCCCGCGCGCGCCGCUGCCCUCUCCGGGGCGGCACCGGGUUCCGGGGCAGCACCGGGUUCCGGCGCACGCCCGGCGCGGGCCACCGGCUCUCGCGUGGCUCGGUACCGAAGGCAGCCCCGGCCGGGAGCGGACCAUCCCCAGCCCGAGACUCCUGGGGGGAAACCGGCCGUCCGGAAGUGGAGGGGCUCCGGCCAGGUCCCAACCCAAGCACCCGCUCCUCCGCGUCCCGGGGCCGGACGGAGGGAUGAGGCAGGGGGGGCCCGGGCAGCGCCGUUGCUGCUCCCCCCGCCGCCCGCAGCCAUGGAAACGGGGAAGGCGGACGGCGCCCGCCGAGGUACACAAAGCCCCGAGAGGAAAAGGCGAAGCCCAGUGCCGCGGGCGCCCAGCGCGAAGCUGAGGCCAGUGGCUGCGGCCCAGGCCAUGGAUCCGGUGGCGGCCGCAACCCCCGGCGAGGCCUACCUGGCUCGGCGGCGGCCGGAGGGUGGCGGCGGGUCCGCGCAGCCGCGCUACAGCCUGUUGGCCGAGAUCGGGCGCGGCAGCUACGGCGUGGUUUACGAGGCAGUGGCCGGGCGCAGCGGGGCCCGGGUGGCGGUCAAGAAGAUCCGCUGCGACGCCCCGGAAAACGUGGAGCUGGCGCUGGCCGAGUUCUGGGCCCUGACCAGUCUCAAGCGGCGCCACCAGAACGUGGUGCAGUUUGAGGAGUGUGUCCUGCAGCGCAACGGCCUAGCCCAGCGCAUGAGCCACGGCAACAAGAACUCGCAGCUUUACCUGCGCCUGGUGGAGACCUCGCUCAAAGGAGAAAGGAUCCUGGGUUAUGCUGAGGAGCCCUGUUAUCUCUGGUUUGUCAUGGAGUUCUGUGAAGGUGGAGACCUGAAUCAGUACGUCCUGUCCCGGAGGCCGGACCCAGCCACCAACAAAAGCUUCAUGCUACAGCUCACAAGCGCCAUUGCCUUCCUGCACAAAAACCACAUCGUGCACAGGGACCUAAAGCCAGACAACAUCCUUAUCACGGAGAGGUCUGGCACCCCCAUCCUCAAGGUGGCAGACUUUGGACUAAGCAAGGUCUGUGCUGGGCUAGCCCCCCGAGGCAAAGAGGGUAAUCAAAACAACAAAAAUGUGAAUGUGAAUAAAUACUGGCUGUCCUCAGCCUGCGGCUCAGACUUCUACAUGGCCCCUGAAGUCUGGGAGGGACACUACACAGCCAAGGCUGACAUCUUUGCCCUGGGCAUUAUCAUCUGGGCAAUGAUAGAAAGAAUCACUUUCAUUGACUCUGAGACCAAGAAGGAGCUCCUGGGGACCUAUAUCAAACAGGGGACCGAGAUCGUCCCUGUUGGUGAGGCGCUGCUAGAAAAUCCAAAGAUGGAGUUGCACAUCCCCCAGAAACGCAGGACUUCCAUGUCUGAGGGGAUCAAGCAGCUCUUGAAAGAUAUGUUAGCUGCUAACCCACAGGACCGGCCUGAUGCCUUUGAACUUGAAACCAGAAUGGACCAGGUCACAUGUGCUGCUUAAAAUUCAGGGCAAAGCAUCUUGGUUGUUUUUAAACUAGGUUGAUCCCCGGGACCCACAGUCUCAUCAAGUCCCACAGAGGACGGCAGAGGGUACAGGUGCCCGGCCAGCGGCGAUCCCCGACAGCUGGAGCUCCAGCAAUGUGAAGCUUUGUUUGCAUUUUCUCCCUUCAGUUUUGCUUAAAUAUUUUUGUCUUUUUUUUUUUUUUUUUUUUUUUUAAUUUAAACAAUUUAAGACUUCAAAAGAGCAGAAGCUCUGCUUUGGACAGGCACCAGUUUCUUUAAAGAAAUUUAAUAUGGACAAAGCAUUUGUGUAAAUUUCAUCUUUACUUUUUAUAAGGGGUUAGGGCACUAUUUCGUUUUUGUCCUUGCUUUUCCCUGUCUUUCUUUUACCCAUUUCUCAGUUCUGCUUAUAACGCCUCACUUCCCCCAGAGAAGGCCCCUCUCCAUGGUGAUGGGGGCAUUUCUCCUGGAACGGAAUGGAAAUAGGAGGAGGCCCCUGGGCCACCUUCCCACCAGGUGCAGGAACUGCCAACUCCGACCCCGAGCUGCUCCCAGCCAGCUCUUGGCCUUGGGUCAAGAUCCGCCUGGAGGAGGAAGACCAGCGUUUGCCCAGGAGAACUCAAGAAAGCAGCUCUCAUCCGGGUGUGUUCUCUUUAAGAUGUGGAAGCCCCCGGCCACUCCAGGACUUCUUACAGUGAAGCUGGUAAUCUAGGACCUACGUGUGAACAACUUUAUAUGAGUAUUUUUUGUACUUGGUUUACUUGGGUUGGUAUGAUACAUUAUAUUUAAGUUCCUUGAACACUGUGGAGCCCCUAAUGUGUAUGAAUGACUGAGGCUUUGUAAAUUAAGGGACGUUUGUGUGAAUAAAGUUAUUUGAUGGGGUCAAAGAAGCCA
RNA transcript from Eptesicus fuscus (big brown bat), 2579 nucleotides. It is a transcript of the gene named serine/threonine kinase 35, with no coding region annotated. Lineage: Eukaryota; Metazoa; Chordata; Mammalia; Chiroptera; Vespertilionidae. The record is from RefSeq and is a predicted model, not a curated record. The transcript has 5 exons.